AUUUGGGUUCUUUUUUUUUUUCUUACAUUCCAGUGGUUUGAUUAGUAACUUGUUUGUCAAGUAAUCUUUGGAUCUCUAACUAAUUUUACUGCAAUGAAUUGCUCCGUAAUACAAUAUUAAAUAAGGUAUAUGUGAAGAGUCUUUUAAGUUAAACUUGGAGAGCAACACAUGGAACAUUUGGAUAAGAAGAGUAAUUAUUGUAACGCAAAAACGUGAACGAAAGCUUUGGAAAUCAAGAGUCACGUAGAAGAGGAAACAUGCAGCCUGAACAUGGCAGG
This 278-nucleotide long non-coding RNA is filed under the name Brassica napus (rape). RNAcentral's name for it is "long non-coding RNA (BNAP_LNC013300)". The record is from RNAcentral. Lineage: Eukaryota; Viridiplantae; Streptophyta; Magnoliopsida; Brassicales; Brassicaceae.